This 76-nucleotide transfer RNA is filed under the name Peptococcaceae bacterium. RNAcentral describes it as "tRNA-Phe". It matches the Rfam family "tRNA". Rfam says of the family: Transfer RNA (tRNA) molecules are approximately 80 nucleotides in length. Their secondary structure includes four short double-helical elements and three loops (D, anti-codon, and T loops). The record is from RNAcentral. Lineage: Bacteria; Bacillati; Bacillota; Clostridia; Eubacteriales; Peptococcaceae.
GCCUCGGUAGCUCAGUCGGUAGAGCAGAGGACUGAAAAUCCUCGUGUCGAUGGUUCAAUUCCGUCUCUGGGCACCA